AACGAACGCUGGCGGCAUGCCUAACACAUGCAAGUCGAACGAGACCUUCGGGUCUAGUGGCGCACGGGUGCGUAACGCGUGGGAAUCUGCCCUUAGGUACGGAAUAACUCAGAGAAAUUUGUGCUAAUACCGUAUGAUGUCGAAAGACCAAAGAUUUAUCGCCUAAGGAUGAGCCCGCGUAAGAUUAGCUUGUUGGUGAGGUAAAAGCUCACCAAGGCGACGAUCUUUAGCUGGUCUGAGAGGAUGAUCAGCCACACUGGGACUGAGACACGGCCCAGACUCCUACGGGAGGCAGCAGUGGGGAAUAUUGGACAAUGGGGGCAACCCUGAUCCAGCAAUGCCGCGUGAGUGAUGAAGGCCUUAGGGUUGUAAAGCUCUUUACCAGGGACGAUGAUGACGGUACCUGGAGAAUAAGCCCCGGCUAACUUCGUGCCAGCAGCCGCGGUAAU
RNAcentral lists this ribosomal RNA (449 nucleotides) under uncultured bacterium. RNAcentral describes it as "bacterial SSU rRNA". It matches the Rfam family "Bacterial small subunit ribosomal RNA", at positions 29 to 524 of the family's 1533-position model. The record is from RNAcentral.